GAUGAACGCUAGCUACAGGCUUAACACAUGCAAGUCGCGGGACCGGCGCACGGGUGAGUAACGCGUAUCCAACCUGCCCUUCACCACGUGAUAACCCGGCGAAAGUCGGACUAAUACCGUAUGGUGAAGGAUGGGGAUGCGUCCGUUUAGGUUGACGGCGGGGUAACGGCCCCCCGUGGCUACGAGCGGUAGGGGUUCUGAGAGGAAGGUCCCCCACGCUGGAACUGAGACACGGUCCAGACUCCUACGGGAGGCAGCAGUGAGGAAUAUUGGUCAAUGGGCGGAAGCCUGAACCAGCCAAGUAGCGUGCAGGACGACGGCCUAUGGGUUGUAAACUGCUUUUAUGCGGGGAUAGGUACCGCAUGAAUAAGGACCGGCUAAUUCCGUGCGAGCAGCCGCGGGAAUUC
Molecule: ribosomal RNA, 407 nt
Filed under: uncultured bacterium
Lineage: Bacteria
Description: partial 16S ribosomal RNA
Rfam family: Bacterial small subunit ribosomal RNA
Source: RNAcentral